ACUAAGCGUACACGGUGGAUGCCCUGGCAGUCAGAGGCGAUGAAGGGCGUGCUAAUCUGCGAUAAGCGCCGGUAAGGUGAUAUGAACCGUUAUAACCGGCGAUACCCGAAUGGGGAAACCCAGUGUGACUCGUCACACUAUCAUUAACUGAAUCCAUAGGUUAAUGAGGCGAACCGGGGGAACUGAAACAUCUAAGUACCCCGAGGAAAAGAAAUCAACCGAGAUUCCCCCAGUAGCGGCGAGCGAACGGGGAGGAGCCCAGAGCCUGAAUCAGCAUGUGUGUUAGUGGAAGCGUCUGGAAAGGCGCGCGAUACAGGGUGACAGCCCCGUACACAAAAGCGCAUGUGCUGUGAGCUCGAUGAGUAGGGCGGGACACGUGGUAUCCUGUCUGAAUAUGGGGGGACCAUCCUCCAAGGCUAAAUACUCCUGACUGACCGAUAGUGAACCAGUACCGUGAGGGAAAGGCGAAAAGAACCCCGGCGAGGGGAGUGAAAAAGAACCUGAAACCGUGUACGUACAAGCAGUGGGAGCCCCACCACCAAAGCAUUCUCUGGUGUUGAAGGCCCUGCAAAGCAGCAUCGCGGUGGCGGAGCGUCGUUUGCGACGCCCAACACACAAAACAAGCGGUGAGUGCUUUGGGGUGGGGUGACUGCGUACCUUUUGUAUAAUGGGUCAGCGACUUAUAUUCUGUAGCAAGGUUAACCGUAUAGGGGAGCCGGAGGGAAACCGAGUCUUAACCGGGCGUUAAGUUGCAGGGUAUAGACCCGAAACCCGGUGAUCUAGCCAUGGGCAGGUUGAAGGUUGGGUAACACUAACUGGAGGACCGAACCGACUAAUGUUGAAAAAUUAGCGGAUGACCUGUGGCUGGGGGUGAAAGGCCAAUCAAACCGGGAGAUAGCUGGUUCUCCCCGAAAGCUAUUUAGGUAGCGCCUCGUGAAUUCAUCUCCGGGGGUAGAGCACUGUUUCGGCUAGGGGGCCAUCCCGGCUUACCAACCCGAUGCAAACUGCGAAUACCGGAGAAUGUUAUCACGGGAGACACACGGCGGGUGCUAACGUCCGUCGUGAAGAGGGAAACAACCCAGACCGCCAGCUAAGGUCCCAAAGUCAUGGUUAAGUGGGAAACGAUGUGGGAAGGCCCAGACAGCCAGGAUGUUGGCUUAGAAGCAGCCAUCAUUUAAAGAAAGCGUAAUAGCUCACUGGUCGAGUCGGCCUGCGCGGAAGAUGUAACGGGGCUAAACCAUGCACCGAAGCUGCGGCAGCGACGCUUAUGCGUUGUUGGGUAGGGGAGCGUUCUGUAAGCCUGUGAAGGUGGCCUGUGAGGGUUGCUGGAGGUAUCAGAAGUGCGAAUGCUGACAUAAGUAACGAUAAAGCGGGUGAAAAGCCCGCUCGCCGGAAGACCAAGGGUUCCUGUCCAACGUUAAUCGGGGCAGGGUGAGUCGACCCCUAAGGCGAGGCCGAAAGGCGUAGUCGAUGGGAAACGGGUUAAUAUUCCCGUACUUGGUGUUACUGCGAAGGGGGGACGGAGAAGGCUAUGUUGGCCGGGCGACGGUUGUCCCGGUUUAAGCGUGUAGGUGUGUGUUCCAGGUAAAUCCGGUUCACUUUAACACUGAGGCGUGAUGACGAGGCACUACGGUGCUGAAGCAACAAAUGCCCUGCUUCCAGGAAAAGCCUCUAAGCAUCAGGUAACAUCAAAUCGUACCCCAAACCGACACAGGUGGUCAGGUAGAGAAUACCAAGGCGCUUGAGAGAACUCGGGUGAAGGAACUAGGCAAAAUGGUGCCGUAACUUCGGGAGAAGGCACGCUGACACGUAGGUGAAGUGAUUUACUCAUGGAGCUGAAGUCAGUCGAAGAUACCAGCUGGCUGCAACUGUUUAUUAAAAACACAGCACUGUGCAAACACGAAAGUGGACGUAUACGGUGUGACGCCUGCCCGGUGCCGGAAGGUUAAUUGAUGGGGUCAGCGCAAGCGAAGCUCCUGAUCGAAGCCCCGGUAAACGGCGGCCGUAACUAUAACGGUCCUAAGGUAGCGAAAUUCCUUGUCGGGUAAGUUCCGACCUGCACGAAUGGCGUAAUGAUGGCCAGGCUGUCUCCACCCGAGACUCAGUGAAAUUGAACUCGCUGUGAAGAUGCAGUGUACCCGCGGCAAGACGGAAAGACCCCGUGAACCUUUACUAUAGCUUGACACUGAACAUUGAGCCUUGAUGUGUAGGAUAGGUGGGAGGCUUUGAAGUGUGGACGCCAGUCUGCAUGGAGCCGACCUUGAAAUACCACCCUUUAAUGUUUGAUGUUCUAACGUGGACCCGUGAUCCGGGUUGCGGACAGUGUCUGGUGGGUAGUUUGACUGGGGCGGUCUCCUCCUAAAGAGUAACGGAGGAGCACGAAGGUUGGCUAAUCCUGGUCGGACAUCAGGAGGUUAGUGCAAUGGCAUAAGCCAGCUUGACUGCGAGCGUGACGGCGCGAGCAGGUGCGAAAGCAGGUCAUAGUGAUCCGGUGGUUCUGAAUGGAAGGGCCAUCGCUCAACGGAUAAAAGGUACUCCGGGGAUAACAGGCUGAUACCGCCCAAGAGUUCAUAUCGACGGCGGUGUUUGGCACCUCGAUGUCGGCUCAUCACAUCCUGGGGCUGAAGUAGGUCCCAAGGGUAUGGCUGUUCGCCAUUUAAAGUGGUACGCGAGCUGGGUUUAGAACGUCGUGAGACAGUUCGGUCCCUAUCUGCCGUGGGCGCUGGAGAACUGAGGGGGGCUGCUCCUAGUACGAGAGGACCGGAGUGGACGCAUCACUGGUGUUCGGGUUGUCAUGCCAAUGGCACUGCCCGGUAGCUAAAUGCGGAAGAGAUAAGUGCUGAAAGCAUCUAAGCACGAAACUUGCCCCGAGAUGAGUUCUCCCUGAGACUUAGAGUCUCCUGAAGGAACGUUGAAGACGACGACGUUGAUAGGCCGGGUGUGUAAGCGCAGCGAUGCGUUGAGCUAACCGGUACUAAUGAACCGUGAGGCUUAACC
Molecule: ribosomal RNA, 2997 nt
Filed under: Salmonella enterica subsp. enterica serovar Weltevreden
Lineage: Bacteria; Pseudomonadati; Pseudomonadota; Gammaproteobacteria; Enterobacterales; Enterobacteriaceae
Description: bacterial LSU rRNA
Rfam family: Bacterial large subunit ribosomal RNA
Source: RNAcentral